RNAcentral lists this ribosomal RNA (493 nucleotides) under Piloderma croceum. RNAcentral describes it as "eukaryotic LSU rRNA". The stretch from base 89 to 243 matches the Rfam family "5.8S ribosomal RNA". Lineage: Eukaryota; Fungi; Basidiomycota; Agaricomycetes; Atheliales; Atheliaceae. The record is from RNAcentral.
GGCCUUUACGUCUUAUCACCAACCCAUCGUAUGUCUCAUAGAAUGUAAAUAUAUGUCCUCGCCUUAAAAAGCGUUGAUAAACUUAUACAACUUUCAACAACGGAUCUCUUGGCUCUCGCAUCGAUGAAGAACGCAGCGAAAUGCGAUAAGUAAUGUGAAUUGCAGAUUUUCAGUGAAUCAUCGAAUCUUUGAACGCACCUUGCGCUCCUUGGUAUUCCGAGGAGCAUGCCUGUUUGAGUGUCAUUAAAUUCUCAAACUCCGAUCGAUUUGUUUCGACUUCGGGGCUUGGAUUUGGAGCGUGCUGGCGUCGGUCGGCUCCUCUUAAACGCAUCAGCGGAAUCUAACGUUCCGGACGUCAGUGUGAUAAUCACGUUGCGCUGUCUUUCGGUCCGAAAAGCCCGCUCACAAUGGUCUUCGGACAACUUCAUAUCAAAUUUGACCUCAAAUCAGGUAGGACUACCCGCUGAACUUAAGCAUAUCAAUAAGCGGAGGA